This 90-nucleotide transfer RNA is filed under the name Micavibrio sp. Its description in RNAcentral is "tRNA-Ser". It matches the Rfam family "tRNA". Rfam says of the family: Transfer RNA (tRNA) molecules are approximately 80 nucleotides in length. Their secondary structure includes four short double-helical elements and three loops (D, anti-codon, and T loops). The record is from RNAcentral. Lineage: Bacteria; Pseudomonadati; Bdellovibrionota; Bdellovibrionia; Bdellovibrionales; Pseudobdellovibrionaceae.
GGAGGGGUGGCAGAGCGGUUGAAUGCACCGGUCUUGAAAACCGGCAUGGCUUCACGGCCAUCGUGGGUUCGAAUCCCACCUCCUCCGCCA